UGGGGAAUUUUGGACAAUGGGCGAAAGCCUGAUCCAGCAAUGCCGCGUGUGUGAAGAAGGCCUUCGGGUUGUAAAGCACUUUUGUCCGGAAAGAAAUCCUUGGCUCUAAUACAGUCGGGGGAUGACGGUACCGGAAGAAUAAGCACCGGCUAACUACGUGCCAGCAGCCGCGGUAAUACGUAGGGUGCAAGCGUUAAUCGGAAUUACUGGGCGUAAAGCGUGCGCAGGCGGUUUGCUAAGACCGAUGUGAAAUCCCCGGGCUCAACCGGGAACUGCAUGGUGACUGGCAGGCUAGAGUAUGGCAGAGGGGGGUAGAGUUCCACGUGUAGCAGUGAAAUGCGUAGAGAUGUGGAGGAAUACCGAUGGCGAAGGCAGCCCCCUGGGCCAAUACUGACGCUCAUGCACGAAAGCGUGGGGAGCAAACAGGAUUAGAUACCCUGGUAGUCCACGCCCUAAACGAUGUCAACUAGUUGUUGGGGAAUUCAUUUCCUUAGUAACGUAGCUAACGCGUGAAGUUGACCGCCUGGGGAGUACGGUCGCAAGAUUAAAACUUAAAUGAAUUGACGGGGUCAUAGCUGUUU
RNAcentral lists this ribosomal RNA (581 nucleotides) under uncultured bacterium. Its description in RNAcentral is "partial 16S ribosomal RNA". It matches the Rfam family "Bacterial small subunit ribosomal RNA", at positions 355 to 935 of the family's 1533-position model. The record is from RNAcentral.